GACGAACGCUGGCGGUAUGCUUAACACAUGCAAGUCGAACGAGACGAGAUGGAAGUGCUUGCACGGAAAUCUUAGAAAGUGGCGAACGGGUGAGUAACGCGAGGGUAACCUGCCCUAUGGAAAGGAAUAGCCUCGGGAAACUGGGAGUAAUGCCUUAUAAGAUACAUUUGUCGCAUGGCAGAAGUAUUAAACGCACCGGUGCCAUAGGAUGGACCCGCGUCCCAUUAGCUAGUUGGUGAGAUAACAGCCCACCAAGGCGACGAUGGGUAACCGGUCGGAGAGGGCGAACGGCCACACUGGAACUGAGACACGGUCCAGACUCCUACGGGAGGCAGCGGUGGGGAAUAUGGCGCAAUGGGGGCAACCCUGACGGAGCAAUACCGCGUGAGUGAAGAAGGUUUUCGGAUCGUAAAGCUCUGUUAUUGGGGAAGAAAAAAGACGGUACCCAAGAAGAAAGUCCCGGCUAACUACGUGCCAGCCGCCGCAGUAA
This 490-nucleotide ribosomal RNA is filed under the name uncultured bacterium. RNAcentral's name for it is "partial 16S ribosomal RNA". It matches the Rfam family "Bacterial small subunit ribosomal RNA", at positions 28 to 523 of the family's 1533-position model. The record is from RNAcentral.